Bison bison bison is the source of this 80-nucleotide microRNA precursor. Ensembl annotates it as microRNA 105-2. Its record names the gene MIR105-2. Lineage: Eukaryota; Metazoa; Chordata; Mammalia; Artiodactyla; Bovidae. The record is from Ensembl.
UGUGCAUCGUGGUCAAAUGCUCAGACUCCUUGGUGGCUGCUUAUGCACCAUGGAUGUUUGAGCAUGUGCUAUGGUGUCUA